UCCUUCCUUCCUUCCUUCCUUCCUUCCCUCCCUCCUAUUUCUUCUCCCCUCCCCUGUGAUCCCCUCCUUUCCCUUCCUUCUUUUCUUGGUACUCUUGUGCAGGAUUCAAGUACUAAGUGCCUGGCGACCUCUUCACCUAGAGCAACGCUGCCAUGCAGCUAAUGGGCACAGCCUGGGGUGCACCUGCUGUACGUUCUGCUCCUUAGUCAUGGUCUGUGCUGUAGCAGCUGUGAAAUUUUUUGCACUGAGAUCAACUAAAGCAGGGGACAACAAAACAGAAAAAUCCCUUCUCUGGGACACAUAUAUGCUGUCGAGGGGGCUGCUUCCCCCACCUCCAAGACUCCGGUGCGCCUCUCCGCUCGCCCCUCACCCCGACGCACGGUGAAGCCCCCCAGCUCCUGAAGCCAGGGUCACAGCGCCCCUCAAGCAUAUGCAAGCAUGGGACGCUCCUGUGGGCCACGUGGGCAGGCGGCCGGGAGCAGAGGGCCCGGCACACCCAGGACGUCGGCGCUGGGAGGCCCUCGGACCUCCUGCCACCGGGCGCGGGGAGCCCCGCAGCCUCUCACACCCGCGGGGCGGGGCUGCGGGGCUGCGGGGCUGCGGGAGCGGAGGCGUGAAGACCUUGAGGCUGCGGGACAAAGGCGAGGUCUUCCGGGAAAGUUGGCCAACAUGGCCAAGGAGGGAGGGACAGGGAGGUGAGGGCGCCUAGGGCCUGGACGCGAGGGGCCUGUCCUCCCAGGUAUGGAGUUUGGACUCUACUCCAAAAGCGGCGGGAGGCCACCCAUAUGCUUUUACCCGGGGAGUAAUGUAAGCAGGGGUGUGUGUACUUGUGUACGUGCAUGUGUGCGUGCACGAGUGUUGCUCUGGCUACAUCUGGAGAGUUGAAUGGGAGGAGACAGUCGUGGAAGCACAUAUUCCCCACCCCACAGGCUAGGUACAGAUACGCAGGUUGCUCUCUGUCCAAGAGCACCUGGCCCGGAAGGGCUAGUCCCAACAAAAAUAGGGCCCUCUUGCACUCGCCAAACCGGAGUCCUACCACAGAGCUGAGUCUGGCCAAAGAAAAGGGACCCGUUUCUUAUUUGCUCAAAAGCAUCACUGCCCACUGGGCUGUGUAUCUAAUGGGCUGUGACUGUGUGAAAGGGGUACCUUGUUCUAUGUCCACUAAGGAGCCACAUGGGCCAGCAGAGGCCCUACAAGAGUCAGUGGUGGCUUGGACCCAAGUGAGGGGACCCAGAUGGUGAGAAGCAGCCCACUCGUAGGUGCAUUUUGGGGGCUGAAAUGGCAGGAGUUUAUAAUGACCCAAAUGGCAAUAAGGACAAGGAAGGGGUCAGGGAUGACAACCACAUUUCUAGAAGAACUAGAGGUGCUGGAGAGAGUCAGACUUGGAGAGAAAGAUCAUGGCUGCCCCUAGUGGUACCAUCUUGAGGCCUGGCGGCUGGGGUCUGGGCCCAGUGAAUGGAGACUGCUGACAUGCCAGGUCUUUGGCACUCAACAAGGCCACAGGGGUAGAGUUUAACAUGAAAUCUGAGGGGUGAGCCAUGAUUUUGUACAUUUUAACAUUUCAAUGUUAAGCAAAAUUUGAACGAGGAAUCAAAAGGGAGGGACAGAGGACUCCAAAGUACAGUGGAGUUUUCCUAGCGAGUCUAAUAUUAACCAGUCAAAACCCUAAUAGUCAAAGUGAAGGACCAGAGUUCUGUGGUCUGUCCCCAGGCCUGUACUCUCUCUGUACUCUCACCGGGCUCCUGUGGCCUGUGGCUCCUGUGGCCUCCUCAAAACUCAGGGGCCUUCGUUUCCAUUCAGGCUUUUCAUCCUUCCUCACAGCCAUAAAAAUGAGAUUUAUUGACAUGGGGUGGGGGGGUCAAAAUAUAACUCCAAGAAAUAAAAGACUAUAAAACAGUAGGUUUUAACUCAUUUUGGUAGACACCUGGGUGGCUCAGUCAGUGAAGCGUCUGCCUUUGACUCAGGUCAUGAUCCCAGGGGCCUGGGAUCAAGUCCUGCCUCAGGCCCCCUGCUCUGCUGGGAGAUGCUUCUCCCUCUGCCUCCGCCUGCAGCUCCCCUUGCUUGUGCUCUCUGUCAAAUAAAUGAAGUCUUACAAAAAAAAUCUUAUUUUUGGAAAAAUAUAACUCAAAACUGCCAGACACAGCAUGCAGAGAGAAACAUCUGAGUGAUUGUACUAGAUGCUGGCCGCAGCUGUCUCCAGAUGGAGGACUUAUGGGUCAUUCUCUGUGUAAACCAUGAAGCCUGGAGUGUGCUGAGGCUCCAGGCUCCUGCCUUCAGAUGGCGAAACGGAGGCUUGGGAAUCUACCUGGCUCUGCCUUAGCCGGACCUGGGAAUCUAAAGGCACCAAGUUAAGAUCAUGAACUCCUAAAGGCACACAGUGAGAGAGAGAGGCAGAGACACAGGCAGAGGGAGAAGCAGGCUCCAUGCACCGGGAGCCCGACGUGGGAUUCGAUCCCGGGUCUCCAGGAUCGCGCCCUGGGCCAAAGGCAGGCGCUAAACCGCUGCGCCACCCAGGGAUCCCCUUGACUAUUGUGUGUUAUGAACAUUGGUGAACAGGUUUUGGGUUGAGCACCUGUUUUCAGUUCUAUUGGGUAUACACCUAGGAGUGGAAUUUCUGGGUCAGAUGGUGAUUUUAUGUUUAACAUUUUAAGGAACUGCCAUACUGUUGUCCAAAGUGGCUACACUGUUUUACUUUCCCCGCCAUCAAUGAGUCCUAUUUUUUUUUUAACUAUCUGCCUCAGCACUGGUGCCACUGCAUAAAGAGAAGAGAUUGUUGCUGUUUACUGAGAAAUGAGAUGCCUGGCACUGUGAGGAAGCUAUUUUCCUGUGCUCUACAAUUUGAUAUUCCUGACAACCUAAGUACUAAAGACAUUAAUGUCCCCAUUUUACAAAUAGGAAACCAAGGCCAGAAAAGCUGAGAUCUCCUAUCCAGGGCCUCAGAGACUCACCAUUGUUCCAAAGGCUGUGGAUUUAAGAGGAACAUGUCACUAAACUCCAUGCUUCUAUCUCUGAAAAACAUUCCCCACUGCACUACUGCAGCCCAGAAAUGUGCCAGUGAGAUGGACAGGAAGUGGCAUUGCGUUUGGAAGUCUCAGGGAGAAGAGACAAUCAACUCAGCUUCGUUUAACUUAGUUCCCAGAAUCUCCCCUAACAUCUUGUCAGGGCUCCCAGUAACCUGAUGCCAGGCCAAUGCCCUAAACUUCUACUGACAACUUACCAUUUAAAGAAGAUGAAUGGAAGAAAAUCAUGAUGAAUGGAAAUAUCCUUUCAAGGGAAGAAGACAGUGAAUGGGUCAUCCUUGUUUGUAGAGAUGAACUGCUUUGUUUGCUGCAACAAGUAUCUGAAAUGGAUCCACAAUCUACCAAAGAGAACAAAAAGAAUUACACAUGGAGAAUCUGAAGCAUCCUGGAGAUACAUGUCUUAUCUUUGGUAACUCCAAUGUCAGGCUGUUUUAGUCAUCAGAAUUUCUAUGGACUAUGUUUUCAAAAUUACUGGGUGUUCAGAAAAAUCAUAGAAUUUUAAAGCUGCAAGACAAAUAGUAAAAAAAGUUUUAAAUAACAUUUAUUGAGGACUAAUAUCAUGGGAAAAGCCAUAUUCUAAAUAUUUUACGUGUAUUAUUUUAAUUCUUAAAACUAUCCUAUGAAAUCCGUAUUAUUAUCCAUGUGCAGUAGAUGAGGAAACCAAAGCAAAGACUGUAUGGGCUUAAAUCCUAGCUCUGUCAUUUAUCACCAAGGGGACUUGGGCAAAUUGCUUAAUUUCAUCUGUUAGAUGCAGAUAGUCAUAGUAGUUACUUCACAGGGUUGUUGUGAAAAUUGAAUGAGUUGGUAUAGAGGAGGCACUUAGAACAAUGGCAGGAACAGAGUAAUAAGCAUUCUCUAAACGUCAGCCAUCACUUGCUUAAAGUCCUAAGUAGCAGAGCUGGGAUUAAAUCCUGCUGCCAUGGUUCCCCAGUGUGUGCUCCUAACCACAAUGCAUGCCUCUUGUGAAGAGAUCUUUUUUUUUUUUUUUAAACUAACAUCUUUUUAAAUUUUUUAUUUACUUUUAAAAUUCAAUUUUGUUUACAUAUACUGCAUUAUUAGUUUCAAGGGUAGAAUUUAGUGAUUCAUCAGU
Molecule: long non-coding RNA, 4110 nt
Organism: Canis lupus familiaris (dog)
Lineage: Eukaryota; Metazoa; Chordata; Mammalia; Carnivora; Canidae
Exons: 3
Source: RefSeq, a predicted model, not a curated record